Molecule: long non-coding RNA, 4435 nt
Organism: Ictalurus punctatus (channel catfish)
Lineage: Eukaryota; Metazoa; Chordata; Actinopteri; Siluriformes; Ictaluridae
Source: Ensembl
AAAGGAGAGAGAUACAGAGGGAAAGAGAGAGGGAGAGAGAGAUAGAAAAGGAAAGAGAGCGAGAGAGAGAGAGAGAGAGAGAGAGAGAGGAGUGGGGAGAGAGAGAUAGCUAUAGAGGAGAACUAUCACAGUUACACAUGCCCUGAUCCCCCUUUCUCCCUCCUCCAUAUAUUAUAUCAUAAGUGACGUUGAGCUCCUGGCUGCUGCUGAUGUGUGUUUAACAGCGCCAGGCCUCUGGGAGAACCGCUGACUUCCACUCAUCAUUUAUCAGCCCCUGGAUUCACUCAUUCAAAUAUAUAUAAAAGAUAUAUAAAAAUAAUAUACCUCAAAAAGGUGUCGAUGGGUUCGGUUCUCAGCUGCUGGCUUUAUUCACCGUGUACACUGUAUAAUAAACAGCAUCAGAGCUCUGGGAAAGACAAACGCUUACAACACGGAAGAGUAGCGUACGACCGUAAUACUAGCGCUGCUGAAUUCUCCAUUCUGAUUGGCCGGCAGAGGCUGAUGUUCCUGGGAUAAGGAUCUGGAUCCAGCGAUAUCCUGACCAGGAUGAAGUGCUUGCUGAAAAUGAAUGAAUGAAUAAAUGACUGGCGUCUCAUUUAAGGAGCGAGACGGCGAGAGAUGACUCCAGACUUAUGAAUGACUCUAUGAAGCCAGAGUUCGGAGUGAGUCAAACUUCCUCAGCUUGUUCGCCAAAAACAAAAAAAAAAGACCAUGUACACAAUGAAUUUGGACACUUUUGUAUAAGCAAGCAUGACCUAGAAAAAAAAAACAGAUAGUACAGUGCGACGAGAAGGAAGAAAGUUUGUGCUGCUCUUGAUGAUCGAAGAGCGACUCCAGGAGACGGGAGAGAUCUUCGAGAAGACUUGGACGGAGAGAAGAAAACUGAGAGGGAGAAAAGGCAAGAAAGAAAUUAGAGAUGAGCUAGAGAUAGAAGGAAAAGAAAAGACAUAGAGAGAGAGAGAGAGAGAGAGAGAGAGAGAGAGAGAGAGAGAGAGAGAAACGGGCUUGUUUGCUUUUGCACAGGCGCUGAUUGACGUACUUGCUCACAGUGACUCAGUGAGUGGAUGGAGGACCGUGAAAGUUCAUGUUGGGAAUAGUAUGAUGCGAGUGAAGAGGGGGCCGCAGCCGUUCUGUCUCCUACCACACAGCAUACGGACCGGCAUGUGCACUCGCACGUCACUCCGCUGGCCACGGCAACCGCCGUAGAAACGGCCUCCACUCAUCCCUGCCGCGUGUCCUCCUCCUUCUCCUUCGUCCUGCACUUCGCUAAUAGAAACACAUGAAAGACGUGCGUUAAAAAAACAAAACGAAAAAAAAAGCACACAAUUCAGAGAGAAAUCACAGGUACGCAAUUAGUCGAUUAACCAUGCGAGACAUAGUUGACAUAAUUGUAUGAUGCUAAUCGCCGUACAAGGAAGGAACUCUACCUGUUCUGUAAAUAAGUUAACAUAUAUUUGCCUCAAAUGUCAAGAAUGCUACAUAUUUUACACGUAUUUAAAGAGCGGGGGUUGACAGAUCGCUAGCUCGGCUAAUCGGGACAGGUAGAUUAUAUAUUACAUAUCCAAGCUAAUCGACGAAAAUGUUUAUCUGAUGUGUAGAGAAAAAAAAAAUACAGAACCAGAAUGAUUAUAGAACGAUGUUUUUAGCUUUAGCUAUAUAGUUAGAAAGGCUAACUCGGUAUCCGCUAUAAUGUUGUGAUGAACCAAAGAGUUUUGAAUGCUCUGGUAUGUUUGAAAAACGGCUAAGAAGGUGAGAAUGCAAGCUGAGAUUAAGAUACUGAAAUUCCAGGUAGCUAUCGCUAGUAUUUAGCCAGCUAGUUGUGCUUAUGUUUGCUCAUGACAUAGAUUAUAUAGAGCGGAAGAGCAAGAAAUAGCAUAAACGUGAUAAAGCUCUUUGUGCGAAACUAUGCUGCGUUCAACAUCAUUUAUCAACCUCGGUGUGAGGGGAAACAAGCCUGAAUGCGGCAGUGUUUGUGUUAUGUUAGCAACACGCUAGUCAGCGAGCUAGCUGAUGAGUGAUGUCUGUUUUUUUUCCUCCUCAAAACGGUGAACUGUGUAGUCAGUGUUAUAGAUUUAACGAGCGAAUACGUCUGUAGGUCGAUAGCUCUAAAGCAAGUAUUUGUUUAUACACCCUGAUGAAAAAAACAAUAGAAACCAUUAAUGAAAUCCUAAUGGUUUCCUCUACAAAUACCAUUACAAAAAAUAAGCUAACCAUUUAAAAGCAUUACCCUUACUGUACCAUUAUUUGUCCUUAAUGGUGUCCACUAGACAUGCUAUGCACCACCAAUAAAGCAACAAAUUACCAGUAGAGACCCACAGGGACCAUUACAGUUUCCGUUAAAACCAGUACAAUUCCCAUUAUAACCAUUAAAUCCAUUAUAAAUUCUAUGAGGGUAUUUAUUGGGGUUUGUUUUUUUCUUUCUUUUCUUUAGUAUAACUCCUUGAAUGGAAGAAGUGCUAUUUUGUUUGCUGUUGAUGCUGUGGGCGGCCAUUUUGAUUUGACAUCACUUGCUGAACUUGGAGUCCAAGUUGAGGGGAUGUUUUGCUGUUGUUGUUGUUUAUUGUUGUUGUUGUUUUUCCAAGUCUGAGUUUGGGAAUUUGGGAAAGAAAAACCCCUUUAGUUGAAUGCAGCAGUAAGGCUGUUAACCUGUAGCUUGCAGAAAGUUACACAAGAUCAGAUAUUUGCUGGCAUAUUUAAAUAUUCAUGCUGUGAAAAAAUUUUUUUUUAAUGAAUGAGAGAAGUCAUGGAAUGUUUAAAUAAUCUUACAUUUUGGAGAUCAGUGCCCUAAAAUAUAUCAAACGCAUGCAGUUCCUACCCAAUCCUAACCUGAAUGCCUGUUAAAAAGCUUCAUGUGUCCUUCUGGGACUGUGUUGUUAAGUCAGUGAGUCCUGUUCAGCCCCCUGGCUGGUGGUGACAUUUAAACCAAGGUAGCGCUGCAUCUAUUUGUGAGUGCUGGACCCACGCGUUACGCUCGGAGAAUGUCAAAACUCUGAGCUGCCUGCCUCGAUGAUCAUUUCCUUUGACAUUUCUCCAGCACUGUCAAAUAGGUUAGCACCGUAAUUGCCCUCCGCGUGAAGCGAGAGGGAAUAGUGGGAAUGAAUUCGGACAAGAUUCUGCAUCAACACGCCACUCUCACCUCCCCCAUUAUGGAUCAAGGUCACCUUACACCAGCUGCACCUUGCUAAGUCCACAUUAGCAUGAGGUCUAAUGAGGCUUGGGGGGGGGACAGUGCUAGCUCCGCAGCCACCGUCUCGUAAUGCAACCUGCUAGCGCACUGCAUUAUUAGCCCUAAAGGCUUCAUUAUUUGCAUUAGCCAUUUGUUUUCAAUUUGAAGCCAUGCUACUGUUUGGGUUAUUUCCCCUAAAGGGUUGGGGUUUCACAAAAAAUUACAAUGAUUCCAUUAAAAAAAUUACAAUAAUUGCAUUUAGAAGCCAAGGGGUGAUUUUUGUGUUGGUUAAUCUAAACAGCCAGGGCUUGAAGUUAGUACACAAAAACCCAGCUUUCUCCACAAUUGAGUUGGAGACAAUUCCCAUACGUAAAUAUUCAUACUCUUAAAUAUUGAGAUGAAGCAUGGUGGUGGCAGUAUCAUGAAAGGGUUGCUUCUCUGAGUAAUACCAGGUAUCACUGACUGAUACUCAUUAAUCUUCUGUUUUGACUAAUACUUCUACCCGGUCUCUAAGCUUUGGUGGCCAUAAUAUUUUAAACUAUAUUCAAUUUUUCCCCUGCCAAUUCAAUAUUAUGGGUUAUUUUGUGUUGAUUCAUGACAUGAGAUGUUAAAAAUCAUUUUAAGCAGGGGGGUGAAUAUUUAUGCAAGCUACUGAUAAACAACAGCAAAUUGAGGAACCUUUGACAGCACCAUUGAGAGCAUCCUGAGCAGCUGCAUCACUGCCGGGUUUGGAAAUUACACCGUAUUGGACCGUAAGACCCUGCAGUGGAAAGUGAGGACAGCGGAGAUCACUUGGGUCUGUCUUCCCUCCAUCAUAGACAUUUACACCACACGGUGCAUCGGCAAAGCCACCAGCAUUGUGGAUGACCCCACACACCCGCCUCACACAAACUCUUCACCCUCCUGCCGUCUGGAAAAAGGUACCGAAGCAUUCGGGCCCUCACGGCCAGACCGUGUAAGAGCUUCUUCCCCCAAGCCAUCGGACUCCUCGAUGCUCAAAGACUGGACUGACACCCACACACACACGCACACACACGCACACACAAACACACAAAACAGAAAGCUGCGUUGUGUUUGCAAUUGUUUGAUAUCCAUGAGAGCAGAGUAUUCGUUAAAGGUUAAACAAUAAAGACAAAUUUUCACAGUUUCCUUUGCUCACACUUACCAAGGGUGCCAAUAUUACUGGAUAUGGUUGAAAUAACAAUAAAGCCACUUGACUUGACGUACGUCGGGUCAAACUACACUACUUCAGAUGCUAUAAUAGCCAUA